This is a long non-coding RNA of Mytilus californianus (California mussel), 840 nucleotides long. RefSeq lists it as uncharacterized. The transcript has 3 exons. NCBI's taxonomy places the organism in Eukaryota, Metazoa, Mollusca, Bivalvia, Mytilida, Mytilidae. The record is from RefSeq and is a predicted model, not a curated record.
AAGACACAUUGGUUUUUCGCACUCUAACUUUAGUUUAAGUGAAUGGAUCUCUAUGAAACUUUACCAUAAGGUUCAAUACCACAAAAGGAAGGUUGGGAUUGAUUUUGGGGGUUAUGGUACCAACAGUUAAGGAAUUAGGGGCCAAAAAGGGGCCAAAAUAAGCAUUUUUGUAACUUCCAGACAUAACUUGUGUGUUAGUGUAUGGAUCUCUCUGACAUUGUACCACAAGGUUCCAUAUCACAAAGGGAAUGCUGGGAUUGAUUUUGGGGGUAAUUGCCUCAAAAUUUUAGGAAUUAGGGGACAAAAAAGGGACAAAAAACAAGCAUUUUUCUAGUUUCAUGAUAAUAACUUGUGUGUAAGCAUAUGGAUCUUUCUGAAAUUGUACUACAAGGUUCCAUAUCACAAAUGGAAAGCUGGGUUUGAGUUUGGGGGUAAUUGCCCUAAACGUUUAGGAAUUUGGGGCCAAAAAACAAGCAUUUUUCUAGUUUCCAGACAAUUACUUUUGUUCAAGUGUAUGGAUCUCUCUGAAAUUGUACUGCAAGGUACCAUACCACAAAAGGAAGGCUGGGAUUGAGUUUGGGGGUGAUGAAUCAUAAGGGGGUUCACAAAAAUUUGGGGGAGGGAUUUUUUUUUUCUUUAAAAUUUUCCAUUUUAAAUUUGUUAUUUCUGAUUUAUAUAUAAAAGCAAAUAAUAAUGAUAUGGUUUGAAUAGGUAAAUUAAAAUUUUUUAAGUUCUUAGACCACAUUCAUUCUGUGUCAGAAACCUAUGCUGUGUCAAAUAUUUAAUCACAAUCCAAAUUCAGUGCUGUAUCAAGCUUUAAUGUUGUGUCCAUACUUGCCC